AACGAACGCUGGCGGCAUGCCUAACACAUGCAAGUCGAACGAGACCUUCGGGUCUAGUGGCGCACGGGUGCGUAACGCGUGGGAACCUGCCUUUAGGUUCGGAAUAACUCAGAGAAAUUUGAGCUAAUACCGGAUGAUGUCUUCGGACCAAAGAUUUAUCGCCUUUAGAUGGGCCCGCGUUGGAUUAGCUAGUUGGGGGGGUAAAGGCCUACCAAGGCGACGAUCCAUAGCUGGUCUGAGAGGAUGAUCAGCCACACUGGGACUGAGACACGGCCCAGACUCCUACGGGAGGCAGCAGUGGGGAAUAUUGGACACUGGGCGAAAGCCUGAUCCAGCAAUGCCGCGUGAGUGAUGAAGGCCUUAGGGUUGUAAAGCUCUUUUACCCGAGAUGAUAAUGACAGUAUCGGGAGAAUAAGCUCCGGCUAACUCCGUG
Molecule: ribosomal RNA, 433 nt
Filed under: uncultured bacterium
Lineage: Bacteria
Description: partial 16S ribosomal RNA
Rfam family: Bacterial small subunit ribosomal RNA
Source: RNAcentral